Aegilops tauschii subsp. strangulata is the source of this 1367-nucleotide long non-coding RNA. RefSeq lists it as uncharacterized. The record is from RefSeq and is a predicted model, not a curated record. NCBI's taxonomy places the organism in Eukaryota, Viridiplantae, Streptophyta, Magnoliopsida, Poales, Poaceae.
AUUGACCUCACGCGAGUUUAAAAUGUUGCAAAGUAUAUUUCAUCAUCACAUUGAAUUUACUGCAUUGUUUUUAAAAUUUAAAAUUGAUCAAAUAUUAAUCUGAUCAAUGUUCAAAUUAUAAGAAAAAGAAAAUCUGAAGUCUGUUUACACGGGCGGCUAAAAGUUUCAAACCACGCUGGCGCGAGCCGAAAAAAAAUAAUAUGUAGCCCACGCGGCACGAAGCCACGAACCGCAGUUGCAAUUAUGAACCUCCCCUUGCUAGUCGUCGUGGCCUAGCUUCACCUCGCCGCCACAGACCAACCCUCACCUUAUCCGCCUCCACCCCUCACCGCCCCCACCACCUGAACUAGCUUCAGAUCGGCUCCACCCCUCCCCUCUCCACUCCACAACAGCCAUGGCUGGAGGCUGAUGGAGACGUUUUUCACCUCCCCCAUUUCUAUCCUCCCGUAAAAAUCAAGUCCACCCAGCCAGAUCCCGUCUCUCACCAGUUCUGGCGGCGGCGUGCAGCACCCGGCGAUCUAAGAAACAGUACUGCUAGCAGUAGUGGCGGACAAUGGCGAGCAGCAGCGCAAGGAGCGGCGAUGCGGCUGAUGGGCGAGCUGUGGACCGGGCUGCUCGUCGAGCGGUGGCGCGUGUGGAUGGCUGAGCGACAACGCAGGCUGAAGGAUUCUAUUCUGCUGUGUUCUCCUUCUCAUGAAGGGUAAAGGAGGUGGGAGAUCCAUAUCGCUAGCUUCAUCCAAUGUCAAAUCCAUGUACCAGGCAAGCGGCCAAGAAUGCCUUCUCCCUGCCCGGCUAGAAGUUGGAUCCUUCCAAGAGGGAACCUCUCAGGAUUUUCUACGAGUCACUGUCCAAAAAGUACAUAUAUGUUUUCAUUCAUCUGAUUUUUUUUUUUAAAUUUGACAGAGGGAACCUCUCAGAAUUUUCUACGAGUCACUGCCCAAAAAGAUCCAAUCCAGUGAGAUGGCCGACUUCAGGGGGGUGGGAAGCAAUAUUGGAGGCGGUCUGAGUCAUGACAAUAAUCAUUCCAUUAAUGAUGAUGACGAUAACACCUAUGACAUCAAGGCAGGGGAUAUCUCGUGCCAUAAACAUUAUGAUCCAUAUGGCGAUGAAUGAGAUACUAACUCUGGCGAUGAUGGUGACUAGUUUAACAAUCUUAUUCAAGGCACGCAACAAAGCGAAGUUUUGAAGAUUGAGGGCAAUUUAGCUUAUGCAAAUUGCCUGAACCAUUAUAUCAUGCAUAGUUACUAUUUUGUUUUGCAUUCUACAUUCCCUAGAUGGAUCGCUAGGGUUAAUGUAAAUCGUAUGGAACUCAUUAGGCUUGUAGUACUUUCUUAGAUAUGCAAAAUAUAAUAUAUGUUUUUGGGUCA